GGGUAGAAAGGCCUUAGGCUUGCGAGGAUGGGAAAAAUUCAUACGGUGUUCACUCAUUGUUUUGCAGUUUUUCCUACACCUCCCAACCCCAUGGUCUUGUCUUACCU
This 107-nucleotide microRNA precursor is filed under the name Picea abies (Norway spruce). Its description in RNAcentral is "miR482l stem-loop (pab-MIR482l)". Its record names the gene pab-MIR482l. The record is from miRBase by way of RNAcentral. Lineage: Eukaryota; Viridiplantae; Streptophyta; Pinopsida; Pinales; Pinaceae.